GAAGGGUGCGAGCGUUAAUCGGAAUAACUGGGCGUAAAGGGCAUGUAGGCGGUGAGUUAAGUCAGAUGUGAAAUCCCCGAGCUCAACUUGGGAAUGGCAUUUGAAACUGGGUCGCUAGAGUUUUCUAGAGGGGGUAGAAUUCCAGGUGUAGCGGUGAAAUGCGUAGAUAUCUGGAGGAAUACCGGUGGCGAAGGCGGCCCCCUGGAGAAAGACUGACGCUGAGGUGCGAAAGCGUGGGAGCAAACAGGAUUAGAUACCCUGGUAGUCCACGCUGUAAACGAUGUCGAUUUGGAGGUUGCGGUCUUGAACUGUGGCGUCCGGAGCUAACGCGUUAAAUCGACCGCCUGGGGAGUACGGCCGCAAGGUUA
This 368-nucleotide ribosomal RNA is filed under the name uncultured bacterium. Its description in RNAcentral is "bacterial SSU rRNA". It matches the Rfam family "Bacterial small subunit ribosomal RNA", at positions 527 to 896 of the family's 1533-position model. The record is from RNAcentral.